This is a long non-coding RNA of Passer domesticus (house sparrow), 1841 nucleotides long. RefSeq lists it as uncharacterized. The transcript is spliced from 6 exons. Lineage: Eukaryota; Metazoa; Chordata; Aves; Passeriformes; Passeridae. The record is from RefSeq and is a predicted model, not a curated record.
UUGUAGGUGCACAUCUGGCUGACUUUUCCUUGCAGUCUGGGAAAGGAGAAUUACCAUUUAAUGAGAUUUCAGCCGUGCAGUUUGAUGGAAGGAAGAAGUCUGUGUCCUUCACUAAGUGAAACAUCUUUCAAAUAAAGAAAAGAACCAAGGCUUCUGAAUACUCAUGUGAACACUUUGUCUUCAAUAAAAGCAGAGCUUGUUCAGUGGCCAAAUUCUCACCACUGUGCAAGCAGUACUAGGAUUUACUUCACAAGUUUUGUAUUAUGGGCCAAAUAAUGCAGAGCACUGUGUUUUGGGCCAAUGUCUUCAGCAGGAAAUGCUAGGUAGCCCUGUGAACUACUCCUAUGUUUUCUUUAGGAAUGUACAGAAUAGAACCAGUUGAGGACUUCGUGACAUGAAGAUAACAGCUGUCUGAAUCAUCUGACUUCCAGCAGCAGCUGAGCUGUCCCAUUUCCCUCUGGGCAGCUGAGUGAUGUCCUGUGAGAUGCCAAACACUCCAGAGCCUCCCAAGGCAGCCUCACAGCUCUACUCAGAGCUGUUUACAGUGGAGCAGGGUUUCUCAGUCAAUGUGAAAACCACCAAGAUUUUUGGAUUAUUACAACAGUCAAAAGGCCUCAAAUAGCAAGAACAAUUUGUGAUUAUGACCCACAGUAAUUCUAAGUAAUGCAUCACCUAUUAAAUUUUUGAUGUGGAAAAUUAGUGCUUCAGGUCUUAAGAAAGUGACAACCACAGUGUUGAGAGAGUGACAAAAAUAAUGUUUGAGCUACAAUUUUAGGAUUAAUAAUGCAGAUUCACCUUUUCUAGUGGAACAGAAAUGUGAGCACCUCAUGAAAACUCCAUGCUCCUUUUCUCUGGGAACAGAAAGGACAGAAGAGAAUGAUUACCUUCUGCUCACUUUCAAGAUUCAGAGCAUUGUAGAAGACUUUAUGGCAAUCUGUUCUCCAGCUGAAAACAGCUGGUAUAAACUCACUCUAGAAGUGGUGGUAGUUUAAAGAUUGCUCAUACUUCGUGCUGAAGAUUUUAAAAUGCACUAGUAUUGUGGAGGAAAUUUUUAUUGAACAAAAUAAAAUGAACAAAACUUUAAUAUUGUUCAAUAAUGUUUAUCUAGAAAGACUGAAUGUCAUUCCCAAGAUGGUGCAACUGUAAGAUUGUAAAAGAAAAGAAGUUUUCUCACUGUUGUAGCAAAAACUUAUUCUGAAUUCAUGCGGGGCCUUGCAACUUAAAUCCUACUUUUUAAUGUCAAAACCAGUUAUCUUAAUCUCCCCUGACAAAGCUUUUCCAUGAAAUGUGUUUUCUAUUUGUAUGCUUUCCAUCUUAGUAUGCCACACACUUCUCACACCCACAGCUUCAUGACGACAGUACAUAGUGCUGCAAUCCCUUGAAACAGAUUUUGAUUUGGCUGCAAUAUUUCUGGUCAUGUUGGAUCCUUGGCUGCAAUAAAAUCAGGUCUGGACCAUUCUGUGAUUUUGCUUUGCUGUAAAUUUGCACAAGAACUUUUAUUCUUCCUUUCCUGUGUUAAAAGCUAUAAAUACCAUGUCUCUAAAGGGAAUUGCAAAGAAUAAUAUUAAGAAGUUAGCAGGGUGAUAGUUAGCCUGCUUGUCAUUGGCUGUGACCAUCUAUGUUUUUAUAUGUCGUGGAAGGGCAAUUCUCCUGUUCUACUUGCUCUCAUAUCUGAUGAAAGCAAAUUGCCAGCUCCAGAAACUUUGUGGGAAGGCAGAUUGGGCCUUUUAGCCUUUGUUUAUGUGGCUGUAGGUACAACAGGGACAGGAUGAAUUCAGUCAUAAUUAAUGUGUAAAUUAGUGGGUUUUCUGUGGAUUUUAGCUACCUAAUCUUAAUAUUGU